UCCUAAAUGUAUCUUCUCCGUGAAUCACUCAACAGAGUAAAAUUUUAAUAUUUUUUUUCGUUUUCCCCUCCGAAUCUACAAGAAUCCAUCUCAAGUAAAAUCAGGGUUUUUAUUUCAAAUCAUGGAUGAAUAAACUCCUUCAAUGCGGAUUACUAGAGGAUCUAUUGCUAAAUCUAAAGCAAUGUCUGAAAAUAAAUCAGAGCAAGAGAUUAGGUCUAAACUUCGCAAUGACUCUAAAAUAAUUGAAGAAAAAAAUUUAAAAAUCGAGGUCAAAAGUGUCGAACAAAAAAAGAGAAAUGCAAAAAAAUUGUUCUGAGGCUGACUCUAUGGUUUCCAACAAAAAAAGAAAAGCAAAAGAAACAUCUUUAACUAAAGAUGAAUCCAAAACCCAUAGUGAAGAUGAUGAUGAUGCAAGUGAACAUCGUGAUUGUGGUGAUAAGGAGGAACAUGUCCUACUCCAAUGGAUCUUUCAAGUAUUCAAUUACCCCCGAAGUAUGUCAAACAAGAUGCAAUUCCUCCUCCCACAUCAUUUGAUUCGGAUGACGACCUCCAAUAUCAUCCAAGAUCAAAAGAAAUGUUGAAGUUAGUGGUUCUUCACCGUUAAAGAAGAAGUCAAGGCAAGUUGAUCCUAGUCUUCCUAAGAAGUCACCUCCAAGACAUGCUACAAAAAGGAUUCAGCCACGCAACCGCACACUUGCACCACCAACUACUGUCCCUAUUUCCAAGAAGCAAUCUGUUGUUGCUCCCAAAAAGACAGUCAUUAAGAAGUCUAUGGAGCGUAAAAAAAUCCGACUAUGCUAGUAUAGGAUUUUAAUUUAUUCUUUUUUGACACAGGAUGCUAGUAACCCUCAGGAGGGUAAUGGAUUGUCUGAUAGUCUACGUGUUUAUCAUGAAGAUGCUCAUAAAAAAGAUUUCUUCUGUGAUGUUCCUUCUUCUAGUGAGGUUGCUCCCUCCGAUGCAAUUCAACAAGAUUCAUGUACCAUGCCACUUCAUAUCACAAAUCAGGUGGUUUCUAAAUCCGAUACAUACUUCCUAGCCUAAACCAGGUAAGAAGUAUAGUCCUUCAACAGUCGGAACUGGUUCAAGAGCAGACUCCAGCACCAUUGCAGCGAAUCAGACAUCCAGGUCGAUAUAAUAUAUCGUCCUAUUUGACAUCUUUUGGAUUAGAAAUUGGUUAGAUUUUGAUAUUAUACAAUAUUAAUUUUUAUAUAUGUAUAACUGGCAGCACUAUUAAUUAAACAACGAAUCAUGUUCUUA
This is a long non-coding RNA of Solanum dulcamara, 1257 nucleotides long. RefSeq lists it as uncharacterized. NCBI's taxonomy places the organism in Eukaryota, Viridiplantae, Streptophyta, Magnoliopsida, Solanales, Solanaceae. The transcript is spliced from 4 exons. The record is from RefSeq and is a predicted model, not a curated record.